This 483-nucleotide ribosomal RNA is filed under the name uncultured bacterium. RNAcentral describes it as "partial 16S ribosomal RNA". It matches the Rfam family "Bacterial small subunit ribosomal RNA", at positions 899 to 1397 of the family's 1533-position model. The record is from RNAcentral.
ACUCAAAUGAAUAGACGGGGAGGCGCACAAGCAGUGGAGCAUGUGGUUUAAUUCGAUACAAAGCGAAAAACCUCACCAGGGCUUGACAUGUAGCUGCAAAUCCUAAGAAACUAGGACUUCUUCGAGAGUGCUACACAGAUGCUGCAUGGCUGUCGUAAGUUCGUGGCGUGAGCUGUCCCCUUAAGUGGGCAAACGAACGAAACCCGCACCGUAUGUUAAAUAGUUCAUGCGGAACUGCCUCAUUUUUUGAGGAGGAAGGAGCGGAUGACGUCAAGUCAGCACGGCUCUUACGCCCUGGGCUACACACAUCCUACAAUGGCAUGGACAACGAGUUGCAAACCGGUAACGGUAAGCUAACCUCUUAAACCCUGCCUCAGUUCAGAUUGAGGGCUGCAAUUCGCCCUCAUGAAGUCGGAAUUGCUAGUAAUCGCGAAUCAGCAGGUCGCGGUGAAUACGUUCUCGCCUCUUGCACACACCGCCCGU